RNAcentral lists this ribosomal RNA (21 nucleotides) under Strongyloides stercoralis. Its description in RNAcentral is "partial 18S ribosomal RNA". RNAcentral also lists the same sequence under 2 other names. The record is from RNAcentral. Lineage: Eukaryota; Metazoa; Nematoda; Chromadorea; Rhabditida; Strongyloididae.
GGUGAACCUGCAGAAGGAUCA